RNAcentral lists this ribosomal RNA (250 nucleotides) under uncultured bacterium. RNAcentral describes it as "partial 16S ribosomal RNA". It matches the Rfam family "Bacterial small subunit ribosomal RNA", at positions 524 to 773 of the family's 1533-position model. The record is from RNAcentral.
UACGGAGGGUGCAAGCGUUAAUCGGAAUUACUGGGCGUAAAGCGCGCGUAGGCGGCUCGUUAAGUCGAUUGUGAAAUCCCCGGGCUCAACCUGGGAAUUGCAGUCGAUACUGGCGGGCUAGAGUGUGGGAGAGGGUGGUGGAAUUCCCGGUGUAGCGGUGAAAUGCGUAGAUAUCGGGAGGAACAUCAGUGGCGAAGGCGACCACCUGGCCCAACACUGACGCUGAGGUGCGAAAGCGUGGGUAGCAAAC